UAGUCCACGCCGUAAACGAUGGACACUAGUUGUUGGAAGGCUUGACUUUUCAGUGACGUAGCUAACGUGUUAAGUGUCCCGCCUGGGGAGUACGUCCGCAAGGAUGAAACCCAAAGGAAUUGACGGGGGCCCGCACAAGCGGUGGAGCAUGUGCUUUAAUUCGAUGCAACGCGAAGAACCUUACCUGGUCUUGACAUACCGGUGCCCGCAACAGAGAUGUUGUUUUAUCUUCGGAUACACUGGAUACAGGUGCUGCAUGGUUGUCGUCAGCUCGUGUCGUGAGAUGUUGGGUUAAGUCCCGCAACGAGCGCAACCCUUGUCCUUAGUUGCUAGCAGGUAAUGCUGAGAACUCUAAGGAGACUGCCCACGCAAGUGGGAGGAAGGUGAGGAUGACGUCAAAUCAUCAUGGCCCUUACGACCAGGGCUAGACACGUGCUACAAUGGCCGGUACAAUGGGUUGCUAACUUGCGAAAGUGUGCUAAUCUCAAAAACCGGUCUCAGUUCGGAUC
RNAcentral lists this ribosomal RNA (509 nucleotides) under uncultured bacterium. RNAcentral's name for it is "bacterial SSU rRNA". It matches the Rfam family "Bacterial small subunit ribosomal RNA", at positions 791 to 1299 of the family's 1533-position model. The record is from RNAcentral.